RNAcentral lists this ribosomal RNA (301 nucleotides) under uncultured bacterium. RNAcentral's name for it is "bacterial SSU rRNA". It matches the Rfam family "Bacterial small subunit ribosomal RNA", at positions 8 to 290 of the family's 1533-position model. The record is from RNAcentral.
AGAGUUUGAUCAUGGCUCAGGACGAACGCUGGCGGCGCGCCUAACACAUGCAAGUCGAACGGAGUUUGUUGGAUUGAUCCUUCGGGAGGUUGAUAGCAAACUUAGUGGCGGACGGGUGAGUAACACGUGAGCAACCUGCCUUUCAGAGGGGGAUAACGUCUGGAAACGGACGCUAAUACCGCAUGACAUAAGGGAAGGGCAUCCUUUUCUUAUCAAAGGAGCAAUCCGCUGAAAGAUGGGCUCGCGUCCGAUUAGGCAGUUGGCGGGGUAACGGCCCACCAAACCGACGAUCGGUAGCCGG